UGCGACUCUCCCAUACCUUCCUCAAAUCUGCCUAUACCCAUGCUGUCAUCUCUAGACUGAUCAAUCUCCAUAGCUUCCCUCCUUUCCUCUGAUCUUCCUCCCCUAGCUGUUCCUCUUCUGCUCUCGUCGACAGACCUUCUAGGGUCUAUUGACGUACCUUCCCUGCUAGAUCUCUGCGACCUUGCCCUUGGCAAUGCAGGAGGACGAGCAGCUGGUCUCUCACUCUCUGGUGGGACUCCAGUCAAUCGAGCUGAUCGACGAGUUCCUCUCAUC
This 273-nucleotide long non-coding RNA is filed under the name Manihot esculenta (cassava). RNAcentral's name for it is "long non-coding RNA (MESC_LNC001670)". Lineage: Eukaryota; Viridiplantae; Streptophyta; Magnoliopsida; Malpighiales; Euphorbiaceae. The record is from RNAcentral.